RNAcentral lists this ribosomal RNA (253 nucleotides) under uncultured bacterium. RNAcentral's name for it is "partial 16S ribosomal RNA". It matches the Rfam family "Bacterial small subunit ribosomal RNA", at positions 524 to 776 of the family's 1533-position model. The record is from RNAcentral.
UACGUAGGGUGCGAGCGUUAAUCGGAAUUACUGGGCGUAAAGCGCGCGCAGGCGGUGAUGUAAGACCGAUGUGAAAUCCCCGGGCUUAACCUGGGAAUGGCAUUUGAGACUGCAUAGCUAGGGUGCGGAAGAGGGAAGCGGAAUUUCCGGUGUAGCGGUGAAAUGCGUAGAUAUCGGAAGGAACACCAGUGGCGAAAGCGGCUUCCUGGUCCAGCACCGACGUUCAGGCACGAAAGCGUGGGGAGCAAACAGG